Molecule: long non-coding RNA, 1211 nt
Organism: Chroicocephalus ridibundus (black-headed gull)
Lineage: Eukaryota; Metazoa; Chordata; Aves; Charadriiformes; Laridae
Exons: 5
Source: RefSeq, a predicted model, not a curated record
AAAGCUUUCUCCGCCUUGGUGAAAUGUUUAUUCACAAAAGGUGCCAGCAACAAAAGAGUCAAUGUGAGAUCGCUGGAGAACACCCGUUAAUUGGUUUCAGAAGAUCUUUGAACGGGACUCAGAAACAAAUCAAACCGGUGUAAGUGAAGCCUCAUCUCUCCUGCCCACCGCCAUAGGCUACGAGUCUGCAGCAAAAGUCAGUCUCCAACACGGCACAUAUAAGGAAACAGGAAAAUUCCACCCAAAACGUUCUGAUCACCGGCUUUCCUACUGAAAUCCCCUCCCGGUCAGGAAGAGAAGAGGAGAAGCGAGACGGUGGUUUGCCGAGCUCUCUCCAACACACCGGGCUUGCGAAGGAAGGAUGGAGGCUGGAAGGGGAAUUAUUUUCUUUGCAGCUGCUCGAUGCCUAUGACCCAAAUUGGGGAAGCGUUUAAGGGAAACAGGGUGUCGUGGACCCGUAAACCCCACUGCAAUGAGAAGGGUGGAAUUGCUUGCUGCCUGCUGGAGAAAGAGAUGAACCCAGCUGCUGCUGCUGUAACGCGAUGCUCUACAGCCAAAAUGCCAUCACUGGGGAUUGCCUGCCCUCGCUCUCCUGAAGUGAGACCACGUCCACGCCACCGCCUCCACGCCCGAGGAACGAGAUUUCAGACAUAUCUGGUGAUGAGCUACUAAGAUACUCUGGAUGCUUCAGUCUCGCAGAAACUAAGUGCAAUGGGUAAUGUGGAGACAAUGAAACGAAAUUACCUUGGGUGCAGGUUUUUUUUUAUCCCUGUUUUUCAAGUGGUUGAAAGUUACUCUUUUUUGUCUUUCCCUUGAUACCUAGCAGGUGGCACACAGAAUGAAAAGUGAUGAGCUCACGGGUCUUGCAGGAGGUGGGUUUGACUCACCGUAGUCAAUACAAGCUUUGAUUUGGAGCAGGAGGAGGUCUACAAAUACAAGGGGUGUCAGCUGGCCCCUAAUGAAGACCUUCUGAUUGAGAUCAGCUGUGGUUUUGUGUGUGACUCCUGGCGUGCCUGUGCUCAGAAAGGGCUGCUCUGUUGCUGUCCUUUAUCAAACCUGUUAUCAGCGGGUUUCGAUACCUCCUGAUCUGAUACUGAAUGAUGGUGGCUGGGCUGGGGAACAACGUGGUGCAGCUUGUUUAUAGUAAUCUUUGGAGGAAAAAAAAAAGAUGGCUCUUCAUUAUAUCAGCAUUCCUGAUUAUGUGUUACAUA